GCCGAAGUGGCGGAAUCGGUAGACGCGCACGAUUCAGGGUCGUGUGUCCGCGAGGACAUGUGGGUUCAAGUCCCACCUUCGGCACCA
RNAcentral lists this transfer RNA (87 nucleotides) under Deinococcales bacterium. Its description in RNAcentral is "tRNA-Leu". It matches the Rfam family "tRNA". Rfam says of the family: Transfer RNA (tRNA) molecules are approximately 80 nucleotides in length. Their secondary structure includes four short double-helical elements and three loops (D, anti-codon, and T loops). The record is from RNAcentral. Lineage: Bacteria; Thermotogati; Deinococcota; Deinococci; Deinococcales.